AGUGAACGCUGGCGGUAGGCCUAACACAUGCAAGUCGAACGGCAGCACAGUAAGAGCUUGCUCUUACGGGUGGCGAGUGGCGGACGGGUGAGGAAUACAUCGGAAUCUACUUUUUCGUGGGGGAUAAGGUAGGGAAACUUACGCUAAUACCGCAUACGACCUACGGGUGAAAGCAGGGGAUCUUCGGCCCUUGCGCGAUUGAAUGAGCCGAUGUCGGAUUAGCUAGUUGGCGGGGUAAAGGCCCACCAAGGCGACGAUCCGUAGCUGGUCUGAGUGGAUGAUCAGCCACACUGGAACUGAGACACGGUCCAGACUCCUACGGGAGGCAGCAGUGGGGAAUAUUGGACAAUGGGCGCAAGCCUGAUCCAGCCAUACCGCGUGGGUGAAGAAGGCCUUCGGGUUGUAAAGCCCUUUUGUUGGGAAAGAAAAGCAGCAGGUUAAUACCCCGCUGUUCUGACGGUACCCAAAGAAUAAGCACCGGCUAACUUCGUG
Molecule: ribosomal RNA, 492 nt
Filed under: uncultured bacterium
Lineage: Bacteria
Description: partial 16S ribosomal RNA
Rfam family: Bacterial small subunit ribosomal RNA
Source: RNAcentral